RNAcentral lists this RNase P RNA (306 nucleotides) under human gut metagenome. RNAcentral describes it as "Bacterial RNase P class A". It matches the Rfam family "Bacterial RNase P class A". Rfam says of the family: Ribonuclease P (RNase P) is a ubiquitous endoribonuclease, found in archaea, bacteria and eukarya as well as chloroplasts and mitochondria. Its best characterised activity is the generation of mature 5'-ends of tRNAs by cleaving the 5'-leader elements of precursor-tRNAs. The record is from RNAcentral.
GAUAGCCGGAUGGUCGCAUGGAAACAUGAGGAAAGUCCGAGCACCACAGGGCAAGAGUGCAGGCUAACUACCUGUGAAGGCGACUUCAAGGAAAGUGCAACAGAAAAAUACCGCCCGCAAGGGUAAGGAUGGAAAGGCGAGGUAAGAGCUCACCCGCAAAUCGGCGACGAGGCGCGAUGUAAACCCCACUCGGUGCAAGAAAGGAGCGUGAAAUGCUGCCCGCAAGCUCCCGUUCGCUCGAACCGUAAGGCAACUUGCGGUCUAGAUAGAUGGCCAUUCAAGACAGAACUCGGCUUACAGACUAUU